CAGAUGUCCAUUCUAACAUCCUCCUUGCAGGUAGGAAUGAUUCAGACUGAACUAUUUAAACAUUUUAACAUUGCAACAAUGCAGUUUGCACAGGUGCAUUUUAAAAGAAAAUAAUAAAUAAAUAAAGCCUCAUUUGGGUUAAACAGGCAGGCAGGCAGGCAGGUAAGAUUCAUGUGCAUGUGUCUCAUCAUCAGCAGGAUUUAAUGCACAAAGAUUCUGGAUGAAACCUGUGCAGGUAAGGAGCAGCACACGGCACUCGUGCUCCACAUGAACCCUUCAGACAGAUUGUUCACCAAGUGUGCAAUCAGGAAAUACGGAGCUGGAGAGGAGGCGAGGCGGGGAACAGUCACCCGUUUUUAAUUGUAAUUUUUGGAAAGACUGGCUGAUUUUAUUAUCAUUUUUUUUUGAGGGGCUGGAUUGAUUGCGUGAUGAGGUGCUGCAUGCACCAGGAUGCACACUGCGCUAAUCUAUAUUAAUCUGGAGUUUAAAUUUGGAGUUCGUCAUCCAUAACUCCGUGAUGAAUCAGAGUCAUUUGGGGGGGUAAAAAGGGGUGACGUAUGCGACUUUUCUAAAAAAGAAACAUAUUACCCGUGACAUAAUUGUUGUGCAGGAUAUAUCGCACCAGGAAGGUUUUAUUCAUUUUACACGUGCAGUAUUCAUACUUUGUGCAGGUGUUUAACAUGUCGGAUAACCUUCAAGGUCAGUCCUUAAUAAGUAAUAAGAAAUAAGCAAAUUAGUGCAUAACUACCGAAGCGUGUCUGUUUGCGCGAAUAUAUUCAAGGCGUCAUUUUCCUUUAAGCCGUAAUCGCUGUAUUCAACAAUAACGACGACAAAUAAAGAUGCAGAUUAUUAAAAUCUCACAUGAAUAAUAAGGUCAUAAUCCUGCAUUCGUUUUUAGUAAAGGAACGAAUCCGUCGCGUCACUGGUGGUCCGUUGUGUGUGGGCGUGGCCGGUCCAGCACCCUCUACCUUCUUAAGCUAACGCGUUGGAAAACAAGUCAAAUAACACGCUAAUUAGCGCGAGAAUCUUUUUGAACGACGCGAUGAACGAUCACCUGUCGCGUUGUCGCUCGCUGGUGCAAAAACCUGGAGUUUUUAAACGUGUUUUGUCGCUGGGGAAAUGUAGCCGCGGAAAAAGUUUCGGAAAUCUUAUAAGUAAGAAGAUUUUUGUCGAAGGUUUUUAUUAGGUUAAGACGUGUCGUGGUGUAAUAACGUGAUAAACAAAUACGUCCUGGUGGAAUUUAGGUUAAAAGCGAUCCUAGUAAAAAAGACAAAAUCAGCACGGAAGCUAAAUUUAUGUCAAUGGAUUUCGGAAUCGCGCGCUUUGCCGUGUAGCUGUCGUGAUCGUCCUCGUAUUAUAGAUAAAUAAUUCUUAAAAAAAAAAAAAAACCCUGAACAAUGUCUGGAAAUCUACCGUAAACUCUAAAACAAGGUAAGCUAAGCUACGUAGCUAUGUUUAGGGAAAUGAGUAAAAUCUGCAGAUUUGUACUUGGUGAAAAAGACAGAUCUCUGGUUUAACGUUAGCUUGAAAAAGUUUAGUCUUGGAAGAAUAAAUGCAGAAAGUUUCUAACCAGCCACUCGUAGAUGAACUUGUAUUGAAUGAUUUCAUAGCUACAUAGUAGCUCGAUUAAUUAGCUAGUGCUCCGGGAAACUAAAAGAUUCAUCGUACCUGCCGUGUUUUUAUGUUUCGGCUGCACGGAAACUUUAACUAGGAUGCAAUGCUAGCUAAUGUGAUUCUAACCCGAAGUACGACGAGCUACGGGUUAGCACUAGAAACCUCCGGACCUGGUCUGUAUUUCCUCCUGAACGAGGGCCGUAUUCAGAGUCGUGAUCAGGUCCAAAAAGUUCGAUGUUCACGCGAGGGAAGUUCCUGGUGUUCAGAGUUGGGUUACACCGCUGAUUAAGAGCUGCACGUUCGGAUUAUUAAAAUCACCCGCGUGUAGCUGACGUUUCUAGGCGUGGCUCGAGUGGAAGCGUACGAGGCUGGGUUUCUCAGUAGCGGCCCGAUCACACGAGCGUUCUCCUUUACACCUGAAGUGAUCGAGGACUGAAGAAGCGUUACGGGGAAUAGCCAUGAAAUAAGAUGUCACCCGUGUGAUACUGCAUGAAUAGUCCUAGUUGUAGUUCUCUCAUUGAUUCCAUCGAAACAAAAUGGCUUCCACACUCAUGACUCGGCAGCACGUACCGUAGAAUAGCACCUGAUCCAGCGCGGACUGUUUCGAUACGUGUCACACGUGCACACAGCUGAGUGACGUGAUAGUAAAUCCAGGUCAUGAAAUUCCCCUCCGCUGAUGUUCGAAACUGACCGAUCGAGCGCCGCCGCCGAAUCUGGGUCAACGUUAGCGAGACAUAUGGCAGGCUGGGUCAUACCGUGUAUCGUCCGACCAUUUUUCAUUCCCGUCGCAGCGGUCUUUUGUGCUUCUCGAGGUUUCGAUUGCUCACUUUAUGCAAAUAUGUUUAGACUCCACCACGAGCGCGCGGUAAGGAUCCAGAGGACGUGGCGCGCCGCCGCGUAGCGCCCGCUGUGAGUUCAGACCGAGACUAAUGCUUCUCGACGGAGCACUUGUCAUAUUUUUUUCUUUGUG
Molecule: long non-coding RNA, 2584 nt
Organism: Ictalurus punctatus (channel catfish)
Lineage: Eukaryota; Metazoa; Chordata; Actinopteri; Siluriformes; Ictaluridae
Source: Ensembl